This 485-nucleotide ribosomal RNA is filed under the name Alcaligenes faecalis. Its description in RNAcentral is "bacterial SSU rRNA". It matches the Rfam family "Bacterial small subunit ribosomal RNA", at positions 1 to 486 of the family's 1533-position model. The record is from RNAcentral. Lineage: Bacteria; Pseudomonadati; Pseudomonadota; Betaproteobacteria; Burkholderiales; Alcaligenaceae.
GGAGAAGUUGAUCCUGGCUCAGAUUGAACGCUAGCGGGGAUGCUUUACACAUGCAAGUCGAACGGCAGCACGAGAGAGCUUGCUCUCUUGGUGGCGAGUGGCGGACGGGUGAGUAAUAUAUCGGAACGUGCCCAGUAGCGGGGGAUAACUACUCGAAAGAGUGGCUAAUACCGCAUACGCCCUACGGGGGAAAGGGGGGGAUUCUUCGGAACCUCUCACUAUUGGAGCGGCCGAUAUCGGAUUAGCUAGUUGGUGGGGUAAAGGCUCACCAAGGCAACGAUCCGUAGCUGGUUUGAGAGGACGACCAGCCACACUGGGACUGAGACACGGCCCAGACUCCUACGGGAGGCAGCAGUGGGGAAUUUUGGACAAUGGGGGAAACCCUGAUCCAGCCAUCCCGCGUGUAUGAUGAAGGCCAUCGGGUUGUAAAGUACUUUUGGCAGAGAAGAAAAGAUAGAGCUCCCUAAUACGGAGAUACUGCGCAC